Molecule: long non-coding RNA, 232 nt
Filed under: Homo sapiens (human)
Lineage: Eukaryota; Metazoa; Chordata; Mammalia; Primates; Hominidae
Description: HSALNT0409617
Source: RNAcentral
UCAGGAGUUCUAGACCAGCCUGGCCAACAUGUCAGGUUUUCCUUGUUCCCGCAUGUUCAGCCAAUCGUGUUUAAGGAGAAACUAACAAUGAAAACGGACUCGUUGAUGGAGGAAAAGUUGGAAUGCAGCCUCUGGUGCUGUUUGAGCGAUCCCUCUAUCCCGGGUCGCUGCUGUGUUCUGGAAAGGCGCAUUGUACCCUGGAUGCAGCAGGAAUCCUAUUCAUCUUCUUCAC